UUAUUAUGUGUGUAUUUGAAGAAUGUAUUAUUUGAUAUGUGACAGAAGUGCUGGAAUUUCUAAAAGAGAACAUUAAGCCACUAAAAACGUUACCAAGCUCCAGCACUUAUGUGAUGGGUUUGAAAAAACAGAAAGUGGUAUGACGCUGUGGGAGGAUGAAAAUGACAGUGGCAGGGACUGAGAGCUGACAAGCCUUGGCAGCACUUAGGUCGGAAGGGGGAGGGGGGCACCCCAAACAGGACAGUGUAACUCUGCACUCUUCUACUGAGGCUUUAAAAAAAAAAAAACUGACUAUUUCCAUAUUUGCUGUUUGGUAGCUUCUUCUGCACGGUACCUGAGAUCCUGGUGCACAACAUAGUGAUCUUCAUGCGAACUUCAGUGAAGAUUUCAUACAUUGGCCUCAUGACCCAGAGCUCCUUGGAGACACAUCACUAUGUGGAUUGUGGAGGAAAUUCCACAGCUAUUUAACAACUGCUAUUGGUUCUUCCACACAGCGCCUGUAGAAGAGAGCACAGCAUAUGUUCCCAAGGCCUGAGUUCUGGACCUACCCCCACGUGGUGUAAGCAGAGGAGGAAUUGGUUCACUUAACUCCCAGCAAACAUCCUCCUGCCACUUAGGAGGAAACACCUCCCUAUGGUACCAUUUAUGUUUCUCAGAACCAGCAGAAUCAGUGCCUAGCCUGUGCCCAGCAAAUAGUUGGCACUCAAUAAAGAUUUGCAGAAUUUAAUACAGAUCUUUUCAGCUGUUCUUAGGGCAUUAUAAAUGGAAAUCAUAACGUGGUUCUAGGUUAUCAAACCAUGGAGUGAUGUGGAGCUAGGAUUGUGAGUGACCUGCAGGCCAUUAUCAGUGCCUCAUCUGUGCAGAAGUGGCAGCAGAGAGGGACCAUCCAAAUACCUAAGAGAAAACAGACCUAGUCAGGAUAUGAAUUUGUUUCAGCUGUUCCCAAAGGCCUGGGAGCUUUUUGAAAAGAAAGAAAAAAGUGUGUUGGCUUUUUUUUUUUUUAGAAAGUUAGAAUUGUUUUUACCAAGAGUCUAUGUGGGGCUUGAUUCACCCUUCAUCCAUUGGCUGGAACAUGGAUUGGGGAUUUGAUAGAAAAAUAAACCCUGCUUUUGAUUCA
RNAcentral lists this long non-coding RNA (1117 nucleotides) under Homo sapiens (human). RNAcentral describes it as "long non-coding RNA NONHSAT162149.1". The record is from RNAcentral. Lineage: Eukaryota; Metazoa; Chordata; Mammalia; Primates; Hominidae.